RNAcentral lists this transfer RNA (75 nucleotides) under Planctomycetota bacterium. RNAcentral describes it as "Planctomycetes bacterium tRNA-Pro". It matches the Rfam family "tRNA". From Rfam's summary of the family: Transfer RNA (tRNA) molecules are approximately 80 nucleotides in length. Their secondary structure includes four short double-helical elements and three loops (D, anti-codon, and T loops). Further hydrogen bonds mediate the characteristic L-shaped molecular structure. tRNAs have two regions of fundamental functional importance: the anti-codon, which is responsible for specific mRNA codon recognition, and the 3' end, to which the tRNAs corresponding amino acid is attached (by aminoacyl-tRNA synthetases). tRNAs cope with the degeneracy of the genetic code in two manners: having more than one tRNA (with a specific anti-codon) for a particular amino acid; and 'wobble' base-pairing, i.e. permitting non-standard base-pairing at the 3rd anti-codon position. The record is from RNAcentral. Lineage: Bacteria; Pseudomonadati; Planctomycetota. RNAcentral also lists the same sequence under 1 other name.
CGGGGCGUAGCUCAGCCUGGUUAGAGCGCCUGGUUUGGGACCAGGAAGUCGAAGGUUCGAAUCCUUUCGCCCCGA